AGUAAACAAAAAUGUUAGCUUCUCAAAUUAGAUGGUGAUUAAGUAAUACAAAUAUUCAAAAUUCAACAUGAACCGCUGGCCAUGCCGUUUGGUUCACGAUCUCCUCUUCAUAAGCUAUCUCCAUAUGCGGGUACAAGGUUCCUCUAGGAAGGGCAGCCACUGUCUCUUCUUUUGCUCCGUCCAACAGCUAGCAUGUCUUCACAACGUCAUCGUCGGACGGGGCUUAUGAUCUCCUCGCUGGUAUGCUCUUCUUUUCGUGAUGGGAGGCAGCUUAGAGGCGGAAUAAGCACCUUGGCGUUGGGAUUGUUCAACACAUGGAUCGUUUGCCGAUCCGGUGCGCUUUGGACGAAGACGGUAGGAUGGCGGCUCUAUUAAGGUCAAGUAAAGGGAUCUGCAUGGUAGAGGUGAAGGCUUAUGGUUGAGUUGCAGCGGCUUCUUCAUGGUGGUGUGGGUACUGUGUUCAUCUCUCUUAGCUAGGGGGAAGGGCGGUGGUUCCUUGUGCUUCCGGAUUGGGUCGGACGUGGUAUGCAAGCGACGGUGUAUGGCGGCUGCUGGUUGGGUUUAUGUUCAUGAGGGUGGUGUGUUGGGCCUCAAGUUGGGCUUGCAUGUUGCUAGGCUAGGGGGCUGGGCUUGACUUGUUAGGGCUCAAUCUUUUAGGGUUUUUUAAUCUAGUAUUAUUUAGGUUUUAAGCUAGCACUGUUAUCUAGGGUUGCCUCCUAAGAUUUCAAGAAUUAAAUUAAGACUAGUGCUUGGUAUCGUUCUGGGACUUUCUCUAGUAGUGUCAGGUUACUGGCUUUGGUAUUAAUCUUAUGAUGAUGUUGCAUUUUAGAUUGCCAUAGUUAUAAAUUUGAUUUUUGCCACAGGGCUCUCUAAA
Rosa rugosa (rugosa rose) is the source of this 874-nucleotide long non-coding RNA. RefSeq lists it as uncharacterized. The transcript has 2 exons. The record is from RefSeq and is a predicted model, not a curated record. Lineage: Eukaryota; Viridiplantae; Streptophyta; Magnoliopsida; Rosales; Rosaceae.